This 75-nucleotide transfer RNA is filed under the name Crassvirales sp. Its description in RNAcentral is "tRNA-Met". It matches the Rfam family "tRNA". From Rfam's summary of the family: Transfer RNA (tRNA) molecules are approximately 80 nucleotides in length. Their secondary structure includes four short double-helical elements and three loops (D, anti-codon, and T loops). Lineage: Duplodnaviria; Heunggongvirae; Uroviricota; Caudoviricetes; Crassvirales. The record is from RNAcentral.
GGCGGGAUAGAGCAGUUGGUAGCUCGCGGUGCUCAUAACUCCGAAGUCGUUGGUUCGAGUCCAACUCCCGCAACA